This 229-nucleotide ribosomal RNA is filed under the name uncultured bacterium. RNAcentral describes it as "partial 16S ribosomal RNA". It matches the Rfam family "Bacterial small subunit ribosomal RNA", at positions 104 to 334 of the family's 1533-position model. The record is from RNAcentral.
CGGGGUGAGUAAUGUCUGGGGAUCUGCCUGAUGGCGGGGGAUAACUACUGGAAACGGUAGCUAAUACCGCAUAACGUCGCAAGACCAAAGAGGGGGACCUUCGGGCCUCUUGCCAUCGGAUGUGCCCAGAUGGGAUUAGCUAGUAGGUGGGGUAACGGCUCACCUAGGCGACGAUCCCUAGCUGGUCUGAGAGGAUGACCAGCCACACUGGAACUGAGACACGGUCCAG